Molecule: ribosomal RNA, 420 nt
Filed under: uncultured bacterium
Lineage: Bacteria
Description: bacterial SSU rRNA
Rfam family: Bacterial small subunit ribosomal RNA
Source: RNAcentral
AAGGAAUAUUGGUCAAUGGACGCAAGUCUGAACCAGCCAUGCCGCGUGAAGGAUGAAGGUCCUCUGGAUUGUAAACUUCUUUUAUCUGGGACGAAAACGGGAUUUUUAUCUCAAUUGACGGUACCAGAGGAAUAAGCACCGGCUAGCUCCGUGCCAGCAGCCGCGGUAAUACGGAGGGUGCGAGCGUUAUCCGGAUUUACUGGGUUUAAAGGGUGCGUAGGUGGGCUUAUAAGUCAGUGGUGAAAUCUCCGAGCUUAACUUGGAAACUGCCGUUGAUACUAUAGGUCUUGAAUUAUCUGGAGGUAAGCGGAAUAUGUCAUGUAGCGGUGAAAUGCUUAGAUAUGACAUAGAACACCAAUUGCGAAGGCAGCUUACUACAUAUAAAUUGACGCUGAGGCACGAAAGCGUGGGGAUCAAACA